Hyaena hyaena (striped hyena) is the source of this 796-nucleotide long non-coding RNA. RefSeq lists it as uncharacterized. The record is from RefSeq and is a predicted model, not a curated record. Lineage: Eukaryota; Metazoa; Chordata; Mammalia; Carnivora; Hyaenidae. The transcript has 3 exons.
AUAAAAGGACUUGUUGAUUUCACAAUCCAACCAACUAUGGGAACCGAAGUGGAAAAUCACCAUCUUAAAGGCCAAGCAAAUCUAAGAUGAGGGUGGGGGAGAGAGAAAAGUUAAAAAUAAGAGCAAUGAUGAAAUAAAACUGAAGGCCAAGUCAGAGUCAGUUUGGAGAGGGAGAAGAAAGAAACAAUGUGGAAAAGACACAGAUUCUAAGACCUAAAAUCACCAGCUCAAAACUUCUUCUGUGUAUCACUUUAACAACUUUAACCUCUGACGUCACAGCGGUGCUUGGCAACAGUUCUCUCAUUUGGAAGUGCCUGUUGAUACCAAUUUGCAGUUGGAUUAUGUGGGAAAGAGGCUUUUCUUCGUUACAGAAUUUCAGCAUCAACAUCAAGGACAUGAGUGGAUGCCUCACAUGUGAGCAUACGCUGUGAUAUUUUAAUGCGCCUAAACUCCUACAAAAUCUAGAAGGUGUCGCAGCAGUUGCUCUCCUUUGUCUCUUGUUCGCUACCUGCUUCGAUCUCUGGACAAGGUGACGCCGCGGUGACAGUGGCAGCUGGAAUCCAGCUGCCGGGAAAUAUUUUGUAAAUAAGGAUUGAGGCUUCUUCCAUCGAUGGUCCAGAUAACACCCAAGUUCUGAGUUAACCGGCCAGCACAGACGCGGAGAGCCGUGUCCACACAUUCUAGAGAGGAGGGGUGGUCUGUUUCUGGCAAAAAUGCCACCCCUCCCUGCCCAAAGAAAAACAGCCUAAUUAUUCAAUGUGACUGUCAACGUUAAUCAGAUUAUCCAGAAGGUACU